This 515-nucleotide ribosomal RNA is filed under the name uncultured bacterium. RNAcentral describes it as "partial 16S ribosomal RNA". It matches the Rfam family "Bacterial small subunit ribosomal RNA", at positions 28 to 523 of the family's 1533-position model. The record is from RNAcentral.
GAUGAACGCUGGCGGCGUGCCUAGUACAUGCAAGUCGAGCGAAUGGAUUAAGAGCUUGCUCUUAUGAAGUUAGCGGCGGACGGGUGAGUAACACGUGGGUAACCUGCCCAUAAGACUGGGAUAACUCCGGGAAACCGGGGCUAAUACCGGAUAACAUUUUGAACCGCAUGGUUCGAAAUUGAAAGGCGGCUUCGGCUGUCACUUAUGGAUGGACCCGCGUCGCAUUAGCUAGUUGGUGAGGUAACGGCUCACCAAGGCAACGAUGCGUAGCCGACCUGGGAGGAGGAGCGGCCACACUGGGACUGAGACACGGCCCAGACUCCUACGGGAGGGAGCAGUAGGGAAUCUUCCGCAAUGGACGAGAGUCUGACGGAGCAACGCCGCGUGAGUGAUGAAGGCUUUCGGGUCGUAAAACUCUGUUGUUAGGGAAGAACAAGUGCUAGUUGAAUAAGCUGGCACCUUGACGGUACCUAACCAGAAAGCCACGGCUAACUACGUGCCAGCCGCCGCCGUAA